UGGACCCUUGUGGAUGAUGCUAGAGCUCUGAGAAGCAGCCUUGCACCUCUCUUACUCUCUCUCUCUAGAAGUUUUCUCUCUCUACAUAGAAAUCAAUGAUUUAGCUCGAUUUCGUCGCCUCGCUUGUUCUUCGCUGCUUGCGAGUGUCACUGAGCCUUUGUGGACGUGUGAGAGGGUAUUUUGGAAGGUUUUUCGCAGCACCAAACCAGUGAGUUGCUGGUUGGAAGCUUGAGAAGCAGGUUUGCGAAUCACAUUAAGCUCUUUUGGUGACCUGGGAGGCUGGUUUAGAAGGUGUUCCAACUAAAGCGGGCUUGCAACGGACUUUCGGAGUAUCUCCGGCUGAUGUGUAAAGGCUUUUAGAAGCUUAACUUGAGCAGAGUUGGGACUCCGUUGAGUAGAGUUUCGGGACUUCUUGUGGCUGGAUUGAGCUUCAUAAUAGAGCCUUCCACCGCGGGAAAGGCUAGGG
Long non-coding RNA from Ananas comosus (pineapple), 466 nucleotides. RefSeq lists it as uncharacterized. The transcript has 5 exons. Lineage: Eukaryota; Viridiplantae; Streptophyta; Magnoliopsida; Poales; Bromeliaceae. The record is from RefSeq and is a predicted model, not a curated record.